RNAcentral lists this ribosomal RNA (490 nucleotides) under uncultured bacterium. RNAcentral's name for it is "partial 16S ribosomal RNA". It matches the Rfam family "Bacterial small subunit ribosomal RNA", at positions 28 to 507 of the family's 1533-position model. The record is from RNAcentral.
GAUGAACGCUAGCUACAGGCUUAACACAUGCAAGUCGCGGGGCAGCAUGGGGGUUGCUUGCAACUCCCGAUGGCGACCGGCGCACGGGUGAGUAACGCGUAUCCAACCUGCCCUUCACCACGGGAUAACCCGGCGAAAGUCGGACUAAUACCGUAUGUUGUCCAUUGACGGCAUCCGAUUUGGACGAAAGGCUUUGCGGUGAAGGAUGGGGAUGCGUCCGAUUAGCCAGACGGCGGGGUAACGGCCCACCGUGGCUACGAUCGGUAGGGGUUCUGAGAGGAAGGUCCCCCACACUGGAACUGAGACACGGUCCAGACUCCUACGGGAGGCAGCAGUGAGGAAUAUUGGUCAAUGGGCGUAAGCCUGAACCAGCCAAGUAGCGUGCAGGAUGACGGCCCUAUGGGUUGUAAACUGCUUCUAUGCGGGGAUAAAGUGGCCCACGUGUGGGCUUUUGCAGGUACCGCAUGAAUAAGGACCGGCUAAUUCCGUG